UAUGAUACACAGGUACAGUAACAACCUGGGACGUAACCUAUAUGAUACACAGGUACAGUAACAACCUGGGACGUAACCUAUAUGAUACACAGGUACAGUAACAACCUGGGACGUAACCUAUAUGAUACACAGGUACAGUAACAACCUGGGACGUAACCUAUAUGAUACACAGGUACAGUAACAACCUGGGACGUAACCUAUAUGAUACACAGGUACAGUAACAACCUGGGACGUAACCUAUAUGAUACACAGGUACAGUAACAACCUGGGACGUAACCUAUAUGAUACACAGGUACAGUAACAACCUGGGACGUAACCUAUAUGAUACACAGGUACAGUAACAACCUGGGACGUAACCUAUAUGAUACACAGGUACAGUAACAACCUGGGACGUAACCUAUAUGAUACACAGGUACAGUAACAACCUGGGACGUAACCUAUAUGAUACACAGGUACAGUAACAACCUGGGACGUAACCUAUAUGAUACACAGGUA
This is a long non-coding RNA of Oncorhynchus keta (chum salmon), 495 nucleotides long. RefSeq lists it as uncharacterized. The record is from RefSeq and is a predicted model, not a curated record. NCBI's taxonomy places the organism in Eukaryota, Metazoa, Chordata, Actinopteri, Salmoniformes, Salmonidae. The transcript is spliced from 3 exons.